GCUGUCGGUGAUGUUGCUCUUAAUACCUUACCUACCUUGUUUGAGUAACUUUGAAAAGAAAUGACGUCUGAGACAUGC
Molecule: small nucleolar RNA, 78 nt
Filed under: Anabas testudineus (climbing perch)
Lineage: Eukaryota; Metazoa; Chordata; Actinopteri; Anabantiformes; Anabantidae
Description: Small nucleolar RNA SNORD34 (ENSATEG00000028535.1)
Rfam family: Small nucleolar RNA SNORD34
About the family: snoRNA U34 is found in intron 5 of the ribosomal protein L13a gene in humans.
Source: Rfam by way of RNAcentral